UUGCUAGCUCCUUUCACCCCAUGCUCAUGCAGCGACGGACGCCCUUAUUCUAUUUCUCUUUGUCUUCCGAGAACAACAGCAAAUGCCAUUUCUUUCUUCGUUCUUCACUCUGAUGAGGCGUGAUGAAGAUAUCGAAUCUGCGACUAUCUACAGCAUACCACCCCUGCCUGAAAAUAUGUGCCUGGACAUGUGUGUGCAUGUGUCCGUGCAAGUGGCGUUUAGGUCCCCUCCCGCCGCCUCCUGCCGCCUCCCCCCCCCUCCCCAAUGCACACACGAGCAGGGUUACGAUUGAAGAUGACGGUGUCACCAGAGGUGCACGCGAGAUCAUCGAUCGCCGGGGCGUUGAGUGCCGCCUUGCAGGUGUGUCGCCGAGUACGAUAAGGAUCUCGGUUCAUGAUAACACUCAUAGCUCUGAAUGCCGCUAGUCUUCUUCAAGACCCCAUUUCUGAGGAGCACCUUGCAUAUGUGUUUAGUUAGGGAACGAGUGCUUUGCAGUGUGCCGCAGACGUGCGAAUCGAUCUGAUGCGGAUUCGUUGCCCUCACCCAAACAUAUCUCAUCGCCUCCCUCUGCAUCUUCUCCCGCAAG
RNAcentral lists this unclassified non-coding RNA (586 nucleotides) under Leishmania donovani. Its description in RNAcentral is "gene:unknown". The record is from RNAcentral. Lineage: Eukaryota; Euglenozoa; Kinetoplastea; Trypanosomatida; Trypanosomatidae.